GCGCCCUGGGGCUCGUGGCGAACGGGUGAGUAAUACAUCGGAACAUGUCCUGUAGUGGGGGAUAGCCCGGCGAAAGCCGGAUUAAUACCGCAUACGAUCCACGGAUGAAAGCGGGGGACCUUCGGGCCUCGCGCUAUAGGGUUGGCCGAUGGCUGAUUAGCUAGUUGGUGGGGUAAAGGCCUACCAAGGCGACGAUCAGUAGCUGGUCUGAGAGGACGACCAGCCACACUGGGACUGAGACACGGCCCAGACUCCUACGGGAGGCAGCAGUGGGGAAUUUUGGACAAUGGGCGAAAGCCUGAUCCAGCAAUGCCGCGUGUGUGAAGAAGGCCUUCGGGUUGUAAAGCACUUUUGUCCGGAAAGAAAUCCUUGGCUCUAAUACAGUCGGGGGAUGACGGUACCGGAAGAAUAAGCACCGGCUAACUACGUGCCACAGCCGCGGUAAUACGUAGGGUGCAAGCGUUAAUCGAAUUACUGGGCGUAAAGCGUGCGCAGGCGGUUUGCUAAACCGAUGUGAAAUCCCCGGGCUCAGCUGAGAACUGGAUUGGGUGACUGGGCAGGAAGGAGGCCGAGGGGGGAAAAUU
This 584-nucleotide ribosomal RNA is filed under the name Burkholderia sp. KS26P1. RNAcentral describes it as "bacterial SSU rRNA". It matches the Rfam family "Bacterial small subunit ribosomal RNA", at positions 81 to 667 of the family's 1533-position model. Lineage: Bacteria; Pseudomonadati; Pseudomonadota; Betaproteobacteria; Burkholderiales; Burkholderiaceae. The record is from RNAcentral.